Molecule: long non-coding RNA, 225 nt
Filed under: Lathyrus oleraceus (garden pea)
Lineage: Eukaryota; Viridiplantae; Streptophyta; Magnoliopsida; Fabales; Fabaceae
Description: Pisum sativum (pea) long non-coding RNA (PSAT_LNC017620)
Source: RNAcentral
CAAAAAUUAUGGUACCAAUUGCAUUCUUCUCCAAAUAAUUUCUAGUUUCUAAUUUUGAUUUUUAAUAUUUUUUAUUUCAUCAUUUGAUAUUUUUUGUGAAUUUUCUCUUUUCUGGUUAUUUUUAAUUCAUUUUAAAUAGUUUUUGAUAUUCAAAAAAUACAAAAAUAUUUUCCUAACCUAUUUGAAUGAUGAUGGAUCUAUGAAAAAUAUUAUCAUUAAUUUUUU